This 410-nucleotide ribosomal RNA is filed under the name Verrucomicrobiota bacterium. Its description in RNAcentral is "Verrucomicrobia bacterium partial 16S ribosomal RNA". It matches the Rfam family "Bacterial small subunit ribosomal RNA", at positions 355 to 776 of the family's 1533-position model. Lineage: Bacteria; Pseudomonadati; Verrucomicrobiota. The record is from RNAcentral.
UGGGGAAUAUUGCGCAAUGGGGGAAACCCUGACGCAGCGACGCCGCGUGCGGGAUGAAGGCCUUCGGGUUGUAAACCGCUUUUGAUUGGGAGCAAGCUUUCGGGUGAGUGUACCUUUCGAAUAAGCGCCGGCUAACUACGUGCCAGCAGCCGCGGUAAUACGUAGGACGCAAGCGUUAUCCGGAAUUAUUGGGCGUAAAGGGUUCGCAGGCGGAAAUGCAAGUCAGGUGUAAAAGGCAGUAGCUUAACUACUGUAAGCAUUUGAAACUGCAUAUCUUGAGAAGAGUAGAGGUAAGUGGAAUUUUUAGUGUAGCGGUGAAAUGCGUAGAUAUUAAAAAGAAUACCGGUGGCGAAGGCGACUUACUGGGCUCAUUCUGACGCUGAGGAACGAAAGCGUGGGUAGCAAACAGG